This 340-nucleotide unclassified non-coding RNA is filed under the name Hevea brasiliensis (rubber tree). The record is from RNAcentral. Lineage: Eukaryota; Viridiplantae; Streptophyta; Magnoliopsida; Malpighiales; Euphorbiaceae.
GAUAUAUGAAUUUUGAGUUAACUCAAUUCAUAAUUCAAUUAACUCAAAAUUCAUAUAUCUUGAGGCUUAAGCAAAUAAUGUUCAAAAAAAAUAUAUUCCCAGACACUACUUUUAUGAAAUAGGAGUAUUUAUACCAACACCUGAAUAGCCAAAAGAUCCAAAAUGAAACUAUUGUUGAACUACUAAGACUAAGACCAACAUAGGACUUUGGCAAACUGAAAAGAGCUCCUAAUCAAACAAGCUGAAUCCCAUGUCGUCAUCACUCUCCUCCUCAGGUUCUUCCUUCUUCUUCUCUUCGGCUGCAGGAGCUGCAGCUGCAGCCGCACCACCACCACCACCA